GACGUAGGGUGCGAGCGUUGUCCGGAUUUACUGGGCGUAAAGAGCGCGCAGGCGGUCGUUCAAGUCGAGUGUGAAAGCCCCCGGCUCAACUGGGGAGGGUCACUCGAUACUGAUCGACUCGAAGGCAGAAGAGGGAAGCGGAAUUCCCGGUGUAGUGGUGAAAUGCGUAGAUAUCGGGAGGAACACCAGUGGCGAAGGCGGCUUUCUGGUCUGCUCUUGACGCUGAGGCGCGAAAGCUAGGGUAGCAAACGGG
RNAcentral lists this ribosomal RNA (253 nucleotides) under uncultured bacterium. RNAcentral describes it as "partial 16S ribosomal RNA". It matches the Rfam family "Bacterial small subunit ribosomal RNA", at positions 524 to 776 of the family's 1533-position model. The record is from RNAcentral.